This 1452-nucleotide long non-coding RNA is filed under the name Homo sapiens (human). Its description in RNAcentral is "HSALNT0195521". Lineage: Eukaryota; Metazoa; Chordata; Mammalia; Primates; Hominidae. The record is from RNAcentral.
GCUGGAAGUGCAUUUGCUAAAGAACCUCACUUCUACCGAUCUCAUUUUCCACGCACUUACAAACGGACCAGAGGUUGCAAAAGUGAGUCUCUCCUCGCUUCUACCGAUCUCAUUUUCCACGCACUUACAAACGGACCAGUGGUUGCAAAAGGUCUUUGCAAAUAUCAUUCAGGUGGAAGCAGAACCCUGCUGCCCGUGUCUGGGUGGGCGAGAGACUGGGGAAACACGGCCAGGAAGCAGCCCGGCAGAUGGGGGCUGAGCGCACUGGCAGGGGCAGGAGGAGCUGCAGAUCUUUUCUCAGUUGAGCUUCAGAUGAGACCACAGCCCCAGCCAGCUUCUUAAGUGCAGCCUCAUAAGAAACCGUAAGCAGAGAACCAAGAUAAACCAUGCCUGAACUCCUGAUCCACAGAAACUGUGAAAUAGAUCUGCCUGGAACCUGCCGGCCCCCUGCAGCUGGCUUCUUAAAUGCCUGCAGCUGGUGCAAGCCUCUCACUCCAAGAUGUUUCCACCCCAGACACAUCCCAGAGCCCCCUGCAUCUCCUGGGAGGACGAGGAUGGAUGGAAGCGUGCUGCCAACGCUGGGACACCUGCUUGCUUUCUGGGCAGUGGCCAGGAAAUCGCAUCUGCUGCCAGAAGAGAGCACCUGCACAUCCCGGAGAAGGGAAGGGGACAGAGCCGUGUGAUUCUAGCAGAGGAACACCCAUAGGAUUCCUUCUGUUGUUCCCAAGGUCCAGGCUCCCAGGCUGAGUAGGCAGGAAGGAGAAUGUGUCUUCACACAGGAAGCCUCACUGCCCAGAACAUGGGACAGAUCUAGCUGGAGCUGUGCUCAAACAGCUGUGGAGGCAUUAUAAAUCUCUCUCCCCGAGAUGAGGUUCAGAGGCUCUUGACAUGCCCUGCUAAUGGUAAAUCUUCCAGUGCCCACAGAGCAAGCCCUGGACUCUUAGAGCAUCAAGGUGAGACUGCCUGCCCCCCUUAAGCCUGUUAAUGGCAUCAGUGAUGUAUUCCCCUCCAAAUGUGGAAGGCUGCCUCUUUCUUCAUUGGAAGCAUCAAGGGAGUUUUAACUGUAAAACAGACUGUGCUUCAAAUCCCAUCUAAAUGCCUCAUCCUGAAGCUCUGACCUGCCACUUUUCUGCAAAUGACACUGGGUGAUUUGAAUGGGAUUAGAUUGGACAGUGGCCCCUGGCUGUUGUUUAAGUUUGUGUGGGUUUUGUUGUUUGUUUGUUUUAAUGCAACCUGUCUUUAAAUCUUCACUUUCAAAAAAAAAAAAAAGUGGUCAUUAGCCUUAUUUUUUAUUUAGAGGAUGUGAAGUCAGAAGUUCCCUUCCCUGAUUUAUUACCUCAUAGGUUUAUGACUUUGAAGAAUCAUUUCAUCUCUUUUAGUUUCCUCAUCUGUAGAAAGGUGAUUGUAAACUCUUUCUUAUCGGCUGGAUACAAAGAUGAAAUGAGAUAUCCU